This 253-nucleotide ribosomal RNA is filed under the name uncultured bacterium. RNAcentral's name for it is "partial 16S ribosomal RNA". It matches the Rfam family "Bacterial small subunit ribosomal RNA", at positions 524 to 776 of the family's 1533-position model. The record is from RNAcentral.
UACGUAGGGGCCGAGCGUUGUCCGGAGUUACUGGGCGUAAAGCGCGCGCAGGCGGCGCAUCGCGCCCGGCGUGAAAGCCCCCGGCUCAACCGGGGAGGGUCGUCGGGGACGGGUGCGCUUGAGGACGGCAGGGGCAGGUGGAAUUCCCGGUGUAGUGGUGAAAUGCGUAGAGAUCGGGAGGAACACCCGUGGCGAAGGCGGCCUGCUGGGCCGAUCCUGACGCUGAGGCGCGAAGGCGUGGGGAGCGAACAGG